GGGUUGUGAGGUUAAGCGACUAAGCGUACACGGUGGAUGCCCUGGCAGUCAGAGGCGAUGAAGGACGUGCUAAUCUGCGAUAAGCGUCGGUGAGGUGAUAUGAACCGUUAUAACCGGCGAUUUCCGAAUGGGGAAACCCAGUGUGUUUCGACACACUAUCAUUAACUGAAUCCAUAGGUUAAUGAGGCGAACCGGGGGAACUGAAACAUCUAAGUACCCCGAGGAAAAGAAAUCAACCGAGAUUCCCCCAGUAGCGGCGAGCGAACGGGGAGGAGCCCAGAGCCUGAAUCAGUGUGUGUGUUAGUGGAAGCGUCUGGAAAGGCGCGCGAUACAGGGUGACAGCCCCGUACACAAAAAUGCACAUAUUGUGAGCUCGAUGAGUAGGGCGGGACACGUGGUAUCCUGUCUGAAUAUGGGGGGACCAUCCUCCAAGGCUAAAUACUCCUGACUGACCGAUAGUGAACCAGUACCGUGAGGGAAAGGCGAAAAGAACCCCGGCGAGGGGAGUGAAAAAGAACCUGAAACCGUGUACGUACAAGCAGUGGGAGCCUCUUAAUGGGGUGACUGCGUACCUUUUGUAUAAUGGGUCAGCGACUUAUAUUCUGUAGCAAGGUUAACCGAAUAGGGGAGCCGAAGGGAAACCGAGUCUUAACUGGGCGUUAAGUUGCAGGGUAUAGACCCGAAACCCGGUGAUCUAGCCAUGGGCAGGUUGAAGGUUGGGUAACACUAACUGGAGGACCGAACCGACUAAUGUUGAAAAAUUAGCGGAUGACUUGUGGCUGGGGGUGAAAGGCCAAUCAAACCGGGAGAUAGCUGGUUCUCCCCGAAAGCUAUUUAGGUAGCGCCUCGUGAAUUCAUCUCCGGGGGUAGAGCACUGUUUCGGCAAGGGGGUCAUCCCGACUUACCAACCCGAUGCAAACUGCGAAUACCGGAGAAUGUUAUCACGGGAGACACACGGCGGGUGCUAACGUCCGUCGUGAAGAGGGAAACAACCCAGACCGCCAGCUAAGGUCCCAAAGUCAUGGUUAAGUGGGAAACGAUGUGGGAAGGCCCAGACAGCCAGGAUGUUGGCUUAGAAGCAGCCAUCAUUUAAAGAAAGCGUAAUAGCUCACUGGUCGAGUCGGCCUGCGCGGAAGAUGUAACGGGGCUAAAUCAUGCACCGAAGCUGCGGCAGCGACACUAUGUGUUGUUGGGUAGGGGAGCGUUCUGUAAGCCUGUGAAGGUGUGCUGUGAGGCAUGCUGGAGGUAUCAGAAGUGCGAAUGCUGACAUAAGUAACGAUAAAGCGGGUGAAAAGCCCGCUCGCCGGAAGACCAAGGGUUCCUGUCCAACGUUAAUCGGGGCAGGGUGAGUCGACCCCUAAGGCGAGGCCGAAAGGCGUAGUCGAUGGGAAACAGGUUAAUAUUCCUGUACUUGGUGUUACUGCGAAGGGGGGACGGAGAAGGCUAUGUUGGCCGGGCGACGGUUGUCCCGGUUUAAGCGUGUAGGCUGGUUUUCCAGGCAAAUCCGGAAAACCAAGGCUGAGGCGUGAUGACGAGGCACUACGGUGCUGAAGCGACAAAUGCCCUGCUUCCAGGAAAAGCCUCUAAGCAUCAGGUAACAUCAAAUCGUACCCCAAACCGACACAGGUGGUCAGGUAGAGAAUACCAAGGCGCUUGAGAGAACUCGGGUGAAGGAACUAGGCAAAAUGGUGCCGUAACUUCGGGAGAAGGCACGCUGAUAUGUAGGUGAAGCGACUUGCUCGUGGAGCUGAAAUCAGUCGAAGAUACCAGCUGGCUGCAACUGUUUAUUAAAAACACAGCACUGUGCAAACACGAAAGUGGACGUAUACGGUGUGACGCCUGCCCGGUGCCGGAAGGUUAAUUGAUGGGGUUAGCGGUAACGCGAAGCUCUUGAUCGAAGCCCCGGUAAACGGCGGCCGUAACUAUAACGGUCCUAAGGUAGCGAAAUUCCUUGUCGGGUAAGUUCCGACCUGCACGAAUGGCGUAAUGAUGGCCAGGCUGUCUCCACCCGAGACUCAGUGAAAUUGAACUCGCUGUGAAGAUGCAGUGUACCCGCGGCAAGACGGAAAGACCCCGUGAACCUUUACUAUAGCUUGACACUGAACAUUGAGCCUUGAUGUGUAGGAUAGGUGGGAGGCUUUGAAGUGUGGACGCCAGUCUGCAUGGAGCCGACCUUGAAAUACCACCCUUUAAUGUUUGAUGUUCUAACGUGGGCCCCUAAUCGGGGUUGCGGACAGUGUCUGGUGGGUAGUUUGACUGGGGCGGUCUCCUCCUAAAGAGUAACGGAGGAGCACGAAGGUUGGCUAAUCCUGGUCGGACAUCAGGAGGUUAGUGCAAUGGCAUAAGCCAGCUUGACUGCGAGCGUGACGGCGCGAGCAGGUGCGAAAGCAGGUCAUAGUGAUCCGGUGGUUCUGAAUGGAAGGGCCAUCGCUCAACGGAUAAAAGGUACUCCGGGGAUAACAGGCUGAUACCGCCCAAGAGUUCAUAUCGACGGCGGUGUUUGGCACCUCGAUGUCGGCUCAUCACAUCCUGGGGCUGAAGUAGGUCCCAAGGGUAUGGCUGUUCGCCAUUUAAAGUGGUACGCGAGCUGGGUUUAGAACGUCGUGAGACAGUUCGGUCCCUAUCUGCCGUGGGCGCUGGAGAACUGAGGGGGGCUGCUCCUAGUACGAGAGGACCGGAGUGGACGCAUCACUGGUGUUCGGGUUGUCAUGCCAAUGGCACUGCCCGGUAGCUAAAUGCGGAAGAGAUAAGUGCUGAAAGCAUCUAAGCACGAAACUUGCCCCGAGAUGAGUUCUCCCUGAGACUUAGAGUCUCCUGAAGGAACGUUGAAGACGACGACGUUGAUAGGCCGGGUGUGUAAGCGCAGCGAUGCGUUGAGCUAACCGGUACUAAUGAACCGUGAGGCUUAACCUUACAACGCCGAAG
RNAcentral lists this ribosomal RNA (2925 nucleotides) under Escherichia coli. Its description in RNAcentral is "23S ribosomal RNA". It matches the Rfam family "Bacterial large subunit ribosomal RNA". Lineage: Bacteria; Pseudomonadati; Pseudomonadota; Gammaproteobacteria; Enterobacterales; Enterobacteriaceae. The record is from RNAcentral.